GCAUCCGUGGCGCAAUGGUAGCACGUCUGACUCCAGAUCAGAAGGUUGUGUGUUCGAUUCACUUCGGGUUCC
Ipomoea nil (Japanese morning glory) is the source of this 72-nucleotide transfer RNA. It matches the Rfam family "tRNA". Rfam says of the family: Transfer RNA (tRNA) molecules are approximately 80 nucleotides in length. The record is from Rfam. NCBI's taxonomy places the organism in Eukaryota, Viridiplantae, Streptophyta, Magnoliopsida, Solanales, Convolvulaceae.